GACCCAUUAGCUCAGUUGGUAGAGCAUCUGACUUUUAAUCAGGGUGUCCCGCGUUCGAGUCGCGGAUGGGUCACCA
Molecule: transfer RNA, 76 nt
Filed under: Peptococcaceae bacterium BRH_c8a
Lineage: Bacteria; Bacillati; Bacillota; Clostridia; Eubacteriales; Peptococcaceae
Also listed under: 3 other names
Description: tRNA-Lys
Rfam family: tRNA
About the family: Transfer RNA (tRNA) molecules are approximately 80 nucleotides in length. Their secondary structure includes four short double-helical elements and three loops (D, anti-codon, and T loops). Further hydrogen bonds mediate the characteristic L-shaped molecular structure. tRNAs have two regions of fundamental functional importance: the anti-codon, which is responsible for specific mRNA codon recognition, and the 3' end, to which the tRNAs corresponding amino acid is attached (by aminoacyl-tRNA synthetases). tRNAs cope with the degeneracy of the genetic code in two manners: having more than one tRNA (with a specific anti-codon) for a particular amino acid; and 'wobble' base-pairing, i.e. permitting non-standard base-pairing at the 3rd anti-codon position.
Source: RNAcentral